Molecule: non-coding RNA, 256 nt
Organism: Osmia lignaria (orchard mason bee)
Lineage: Eukaryota; Metazoa; Arthropoda; Insecta; Hymenoptera; Megachilidae
Source: RefSeq, a predicted model, not a curated record
AUGCACACGCAACGAUCAGAACCACUAUCGCAACACCUUCAAGUCAGCUACACUCACAGUCCAAUCCAAUGAACAUUCUUCAUUUGAACUUCCAUGGCUUGCAUUGGACUUCCUAUUGUCGAAAUGAAAACUGAAGAAAUUUCAACUGUUCAACUUGUUAUCAAGAUCCUAAAAAUGUUACCAUAUGUAUUCCAUUACAAUAUAAACUUCAAAAUCUAUAAAACUCAUAUCAAUAUAAAUAAAUUAUAAAUUAUUA